RNAcentral lists this ribosomal RNA (2928 nucleotides) under Enterobacter cloacae complex sp. FDA-CDC-AR_0132. Its description in RNAcentral is "bacterial LSU rRNA". It matches the Rfam family "Bacterial large subunit ribosomal RNA". Lineage: Bacteria; Pseudomonadati; Pseudomonadota; Gammaproteobacteria; Enterobacterales; Enterobacteriaceae. The record is from RNAcentral.
GGGUUGUGAGGUUAAGCGACUAAGCGUACACGGUGGAUGCCCUGGCAGUCAGAGGCGAUGAAGGACGUGCUAAUCUGCGAAAAGCGCCGGCGAGGUGAUAUGAACCUUUGACCCGGCGAUGUCCGAAUGGGGAAACCCAGUGUGUUCCGACACACUAUCGUUAACUGAAUACAUAGGUUAACGAGGCGAACCGGGGGAACUGAAACAUCUAAGUACCCCGAGGAAAAGAAAUCAACCGAGAUUCCCCCAGUAGCGGCGAGCGAACGGGGAGCAGCCCAGAGUCUGAAUCAGCUUGUGUGUUAGUGGAAGCGUCUGGAAAGUCGCACGGUACAGGGUGAAAGUCCCGUACACGAAAGCACACAGGCUGUGAACUCGAAGAGUAGGGCGGGACACGUGGUAUCCUGUCUGAAUAUGGGGGGACCAUCCUCCAAGGCUAAAUACUCCUGACUGACCGAUAGUGAACCAGUACCGUGAGGGAAAGGCGAAAAGAACCCCGGCGAGGGGAGUGAAAAAGAACCUGAAACCGUGUACGUACAAGCAGUGGGAGCCUCUUUUAUGGGGUGACUGCGUACCUUUUGUAUAAUGGGUCAGCGACUUAUAUUCUGUAGCAAGGUUAACCGUAUAGGGGAGCCGAAGGGAAACCGAGUCUUAACUGGGCGUUAAGUUGCAGGGUAUAGACCCGAAACCCGGUGAUCUAGCCAUGGGCAGGUUGAAGGUUGGGUAACACUAACUGGAGGACCGAACCGACUAAUGUUGAAAAAUUAGCGGAUGACUUGUGGCUGGGGGUGAAAGGCCAAUCAAACCGGGAGAUAGCUGGUUCUCCCCGAAAGCUAUUUAGGUAGCGCCUCGUGAACUCAUCUUCGGGGGUAGAGCACUGUUUCGGCUAGGGGGCCAUCCCGGCUUACCAACCCGAUGCAAACUACGAAUACCGAAGAAUGUUAUCACGGGAGACACACGGCGGGUGCUAACGUCCGUCGUGAAGAGGGAAACAACCCAGACCGCCAGCUAAGGUCCCAAAGUCAUGGUUAAGUGGGAAACGAUGUGGGAAGGCACAGACAGCCAGGAUGUUGGCUUAGAAGCAGCCAUCAUUUAAAGAAAGCGUAAUAGCUCACUGGUCGAGUCGGCCUGCGCGGAAGAUGUAACGGGGCUAAACCAUGCACCGAAGCUGCGGCAGCGACGCUUAUGCGUUGUUGGGUAGGGGAGCGUUCUGUAAGCCGUUGAAGGUGUCCUGUGAGGGGUGCUGGAGGUAUCAGAAGUGCGAAUGCUGACAUAAGUAACGAUAAAGCGGGUGAAAAGCCCGCUCGCCGGAAGACCAAGGGUUCCUGUCCAACGUUAAUCGGGGCAGGGUGAGUCGACCCCUAAGGCGAGGCCGAAAGGCGUAGUCGAUGGGAAACAGGUUAAUAUUCCUGUACUUGGUGUUACUGCGAAGGGGGGACGGAGAAGGCUAUGUUAGCCGGGCGACGGUUGUCCCGGUUUAAGCAUGUAGGCGGAGGUUCCAGGUAAAUCCGGUUCCUUGUUAACGCUGAGGUGUGAUGACGAGGCACUACGGUGCUGAAGUAACAAAUGCCCUGCUUCCAGGAAAAGCCUCUAAGCAUCAGGUAACAUCAAAUCGUACCCCAAACCGACACAGGUGGUCAGGUAGAGAAUACCAAGGCGCUUGAGAGAACUCGGGUGAAGGAACUAGGCAAAAUGGUGCCGUAACUUCGGGAGAAGGCACGCUGAUAUGUAGGUGAAGUCCCUGCGGAUGGAGCUGAAAUCAGUCGAAGAUACCAGCUGGCUGCAACUGUUUAUUAAAAACACAGCACUGUGCAAACACGAAAGUGGACGUAUACGGUGUGACGCCUGCCCGGUGCCGGAAGGUUAAUUGAUGGGGUUAGCGGUAACGCGAAGCUCUUGAUCGAAGCCCCGGUAAACGGCGGCCGUAACUAUAACGGUCCUAAGGUAGCGAAAUUCCUUGUCGGGUAAGUUCCGACCUGCACGAAUGGCGUAAUGAUGGCCAGGCUGUCUCCACCCGAGACUCAGUGAAAUUGAACUCGCUGUGAAGAUGCAGUGUACCCGCGGCAAGACGGAAAGACCCCGUGAACCUUUACUAUAGCUUGACACUGAACACUGGUCCUUGAUGUGUAGGAUAGGUGGGAGGCUUUGAAGCGUGGACGCCAGUCUGCGUGGAGCCAACCUUGAAAUACCACCCUUUAAUGGCUGGUGUUCUAACGUAGACCCGUGAUCCGGGUUGCGGACAGUGUCUGGUGGGUAGUUUGACUGGGGCGGUCUCCUCCCAAAGAGUAACGGAGGAGCACGAAGGUUAGCUAAUCCUGGUCGGACAUCAGGAGGUUAGUGCAAUGGCAUAAGCUAGCUUGACUGCGAGAGUGACGGCUCGAGCAGGUGCGAAAGCAGGUCAUAGUGAUCCGGUGGUUCUGAAUGGAAGGGCCAUCGCUCAACGGAUAAAAGGUACUCCGGGGAUAACAGGCUGAUACCGCCCAAGAGUUCAUAUCGACGGCGGUGUUUGGCACCUCGAUGUCGGCUCAUCACAUCCUGGGGCUGAAGUAGGUCCCAAGGGUAUGGCUGUUCGCCAUUUAAAGUGGUACGCGAGCUGGGUUUAGAACGUCGUGAGACAGUUCGGUCCCUAUCUGCCGUGGGCGCUGGAGAAUUGAGGGGGGCUGCUCCUAGUACGAGAGGACCGGAGUGGACGCAUCACUGGUGUUCGGGUUGUCAUGCCAAUGGCACUGCCCGGUAGCUAAAUGCGGAAGAGAUAAGUGCUGAAAGCAUCUAAGCACGAAACUUGCCCCGAGAUGAGUUCUCCCUGAGACUUUAAGUCUCCUGAAGGAACGUUGAAGACUACGACGUUGAUAGGUCGGGUGUGUAAGCGCAGCGAUGCGUUGAGCUAACCGAUACUAAUGAACCGUGAGGCUUAACCUUACAACGCCGAAG